UGGAAUAUCAAAGAAAGCAGGUUCUUAUGCUACAUAAUUGUUUCCUCUACUUAUAGUUAACCUCUCUAUUUUGUCGUCUCUAACAGCCAAGAUGAGUGAUCUACUCUUACGGCUCAUGCUAACUGAACUGGUGAUGUUUCUUUCUUCACCUCGAUUGACGCCACAUGUUCCCCCUGGUUGCCGCGUCGUCCUCGUCUUCGGCUUGCAAGGGACUGGAUCUGGUGUGAUUGAUUCUUCCUCUCGCAAGGUAGAGGGACAAAAAUUGAAGAUCCAAAUGAGCGACUCAAAUUCAGGAUUUGAGUUACCAAUGUAGUGUCUACGACUGGCUGAUGGUUCAAGAGUUCGAAGAAAGUCAAGCAGAAGGGAAUACUACACAUGCCCACGCUGCUAUAUGCCAAGGUGCUAGAGGCCACAUAUUGGGCAGGAGCUUUCGUAUGGUGUGCAAGUGCUAGAGGCUACAUAUUGCUGGAAGGUGCUCAAUUCACAUUAGGACAGCCCACCCCCAAGAAGAAAUUAAAACAGAGAUUAUUCACUUUGUGAAGAUCAAUAACAAUGAGGAGCAGGUGCCGGCAGCUAAGGCGUGUUUGUCUGGUACACGUGAGCCAAUUUCUCCUGUUAGGGUGGACGACAUGCAAGCAGCCGCGAUGACGGACAGGCCGCUCUCGCACCACCAGACUCCCUUCAGGGUAGUUACCCACGGGCACGUACUUUUGCCGUUUAUUUUUACUUGUGAUUCCGCUCGUUGUGAACGUGGCUCGAUCCAUGUUGUGGCCCAGUUAUUAUUUUUGUUUUGUUUCGAUGGAUCGUCUUGGCUUGCUUUUGGCCUGAAGUUGUUGCCUUGCUUUUGGCACACCUGAUUCCACUACCUUUUGUUGUUGCUUGGACCAGUUUCUAUGUAAUGAACAUAUUUAUAUCAAUGUUGUGCUUCUGUUAUAAUCUUGCUAUAUUACACUGGUGAUUUUCGGUGAUUACUCUGAUUUCUACUUGCCCCAGUGAGUAUUUACACGGUCAUACUCAUGUUGUAUAAUUCCUUUGGCUAAAUUGUAUAAUUCUGACAGGUUCAUACAUCAUGUUAAGGAGUAUUAAGUUAUAGCACGCUUACUUAGGU
Molecule: non-coding RNA, 1108 nt
Organism: Triticum urartu
Lineage: Eukaryota; Viridiplantae; Streptophyta; Magnoliopsida; Poales; Poaceae
Source: RefSeq, a predicted model, not a curated record